CUACGGGAGGCUGCAGUGGGGAAUAUUGGACAAUGGGCGAAAGCCUGAUCCAGCCAUGCCGCGUGUGUGAAGAAGGCCUUCGGGUUGUAAAGCACUUUCAGUGGGGAAGAAAGCCUUGGGGCUAAUACCCUCGAGGAAGGACAUCACCCACAGAAGAAGCACCGGCUAACUCCGUGCCAGCAGCCGCGGUAAUACGGAGGGUGACGAGCGUUAAUCGGAAUUACUGGGCGUAAAGCGGGCGUAGGCGGCCUGAUAAGCCGGUUGUGAAAGCCCCGGGCUCAACCUGGGAACGGCAUCCGGAACUGUCAGGCUAGAGUGCAGGAGAGGAAGGUAGAAUUCCCGGUGUAGCGGUGAAAUGCGUAGAGAUCGGGAGGAAUACCAGUGGCGAAGGCGGCCUUCUGGACUGACACUGACGCUGAGGUGCGAAAGCGUGGGUAGCAAACAGGAUUAGAUACCCUUGUAUC
RNAcentral lists this ribosomal RNA (464 nucleotides) under Vreelandella stevensii. Its description in RNAcentral is "partial 16S ribosomal RNA". It matches the Rfam family "Bacterial small subunit ribosomal RNA", at positions 339 to 794 of the family's 1533-position model. The record is from RNAcentral. Lineage: Bacteria; Pseudomonadati; Pseudomonadota; Gammaproteobacteria; Oceanospirillales; Halomonadaceae.